This 421-nucleotide ribosomal RNA is filed under the name Phylloneta impressa. RNAcentral describes it as "partial 16S ribosomal RNA". The stretch from base 151 to 421 matches the Rfam family "Archaeal large subunit ribosomal RNA", at positions 2159 to 2690 of the family's 2987-position model. The record is from RNAcentral. Lineage: Eukaryota; Metazoa; Arthropoda; Arachnida; Araneae; Theridiidae.
UUAAAUAGCCGCAGAAAUUCUGUGCUAAGGUAGCRUAAUCAUUUGUUCUUUAAUUMAGAACUAGAAUGAAAGAUUUAACGUUUUAAUAAUUAUUUUAUUUAUAAUUAUUUAAUUUAUACUAAAUAUAAAAAUAUAUUUAUAUAAUAAAUAGACGACAAGACCCUACUGAACUUAACUUACAUGUUUAACUGGGGCAGUUAAUUAAUUAUAAUUUUAAUUAAAUAUAUUAAAUAAAUUAUCCAAUACUAUUGAUUAUAAACAAGUUACCAUAGGGAUAACAGCGUAAUAUUAUUUUAAAGUUCAUAUUUUAAAUAAUGUUUGCGACCUCGAUGUUGAAUUAUUAUUCUUUAUUUUAACGCAAUAGUUAUAAAAGUAGGUCUGUUCGACCUUUAAUAUAUUACAUGAUCUGAUUUCAAACCGG